RNAcentral lists this ribosomal RNA (496 nucleotides) under Coloceras clypeatum. RNAcentral's name for it is "partial 16S ribosomal RNA". It matches the Rfam family "Bacterial large subunit ribosomal RNA", at positions 1832 to 2595 of the family's 2925-position model. Lineage: Eukaryota; Metazoa; Arthropoda; Insecta; Psocodea; Philopteridae. The record is from RNAcentral.
UCCUCAUUUAAUUAUUUGAGGUAUGGCCUGCUCAAUGCAAUUUGUAAAUAGCCGCAGUACUUUGACUGUGCAAAGGUAGCAUAAUAAAUUGGCCUUUAAUUGGGGUCUGGAAUGAAUGGCUGAACAAGGAUUUGACUGUCUUGAAAUAAGAUUUUUUGAAUUUGAAUUGUUUGUAAAAAUGCAAACAUAAAGGAGAGGGACGAGAAGACCCUGUAGAUCUUUAAAAAAUUAUAAAAAUACUUUUUAUUUUUUUUUUUAUUUGGGGAAAAUCCUGAAAUGAAGAUUAAAAAGAAACUUCGGUUAAUUUUCAAAAAUUUAAAUAAUUAAAUUUCGAUCCAUAAUAUAGUGAAAAGAUGAAAAAGUUACCUCAGGGAUAACAGGACAAUGAUUUCUUAUGGAGAUCUUAUCUUAGGAGACGUUUGUUACCUCGAUGUUGAAUUAAGUUAUCUUAUUAAAGAAGAAGUUCUUAUAGUUGGUCUGUUCGACCAUUAAAAAC